GCUCGACCACGUUGAGAUCCUCAUGGGGCCUGCGCAGGUGUACCGCUCCUGGCGCCGAGCCGCGCGUGACUACCCCAAGCUCCUCAGCGAACAGUGAGACUGCAAUCCCACACCCCCGCCUCCCUGUUCUAGGAUUUUAAAGUUCCGUUCUGAUUUUCCUUUGUUGCGAGUAUACAACAUCUACUUUCCUCUGCCUGUCAGCUGUUAGGUGAAAUGUCUCAAAUGUAACCUGUUGUGAACAAUUCAUUUUCUACUAGUUGAAAUUCUACAGGAGCAGAAGUGGAUCAUAGCUGUUGUUUAUGGUGCCUGUAUAUGCCUUUGAAUCUGCAGUAACACAUCUCCAUAUAUUUAUUGCAAGUUUAUUUCAAAUUGAGGAAGCUGAACUGAGCAUUAUGAAUUUGUAUGCUGAUUCCUAAUGAUAUAUAUCAAGAAGGCGUAAUUGUAAGAGAGACAUGAUGGGUGCAACUUGGAGUAGCAUGUGAGCUCAUAUGCAUUGCUGAAGAAUCUUUUUAUGUUUGUGUUAAGUAGAUCAAGUCCUGUCAGAUUGAUUCAAUAGUUUUCAACUGAGUUGAUUGUAACUUGCUACUGGAAUAUCUAUGAAUAUUUCUGCUCAUUAAAAUUACUACAUAUCAGCAGCAAUGUAUUUGUUUUCUAUACCACAUGUUGUUCCUGUAAUAUUAUUGGAAGAAUAAUGGUAUGUUGCCGGUCACUACCUUGAUCAAUGGAACUUGAUAUGGACCGGAUGUUUGAUGGAUGCAAUUUGAAUUA
Panicum virgatum (switchgrass) is the source of this 768-nucleotide long non-coding RNA. RefSeq lists it as uncharacterized. The transcript is spliced from 3 exons. The record is from RefSeq and is a predicted model, not a curated record. Lineage: Eukaryota; Viridiplantae; Streptophyta; Magnoliopsida; Poales; Poaceae.